AAAUUGAAGAGUUUGAUCAUGGCUCAGAUUGAACGCUGGCGGCAGGCCUAACACAUGCAAGUCGAACGGUAACAGGAAGCAGCUUGCUGCUUUGCUGACGAGUGGCGGACGGGUGAGUAAUGUCUGGGAAACUGCCUGAUGGAGGGGGAUAACUACUGGAAACGGUGGCUAAUACCGCAUAACGUCGCAAGACCAAAGAGGGGGACCUUCGGGCCUCUUGCCAUCAGAUGUGCCCAGAUGGGAUUAGCUUGUUGGUGAGGUAACGGCUCACCAAGGCGACGAUCCCUAGCUGGUCUGAGAGGAUGACCAGCCACACUGGAACUGAGACACGGUCCAGACUCCUACGGGAGGCAGCAGUGGGGAAUAUUGCACAAUGGGCGCAAGCCUGAUGCAGCCAUGCCGCGUGUAUGAAGAAGGCCUUCGGGUUGUAAAGUACUUUCAGCGGGGAGGAAGGUGUUGUGGUUAAUAACCGCAGCAAUUGACGUUACCCGCAGAAGAAGCACCGGCUAACUCCGUGCCAGCAGCCGCGGUAAUACGGAGGGUGCAAGCGUUAAUCGGAAUUACUGGGCGUAAAGCGCACGCAGGCGGUCUGUCAAGUCGGAUGUGAAAUCCCCGGGCUCAACCUGGGAACUGCAUUCGAAACUGGCAGGCUUGAGUCUUGUAGAGGGGGGUAGAAUUCCAGGUGUAGCGGUGAAAUGCGUAGAGAUCUGGAGGAAUACCGGUGGCGAAGGCGGCCCCCUGGACAAAGACUGACGCUCAGGUGCGAAAGCGUGGGGAGCAAACAGGAUUAGAUACCCUGGUAGUCCACGCCGUAAACGAUGUCUACUUGGAGGUUGUGCCCUUGAGGCGUGGCUUCCGGAGCUAACGCGUUAAGUAGACCGCCUGGGGAGUACGGCCGCAAGGUUAAAACUCAAAUGAAUUGACGGGGGCCCGCACAAGCGGUGGAGCAUGUGGUUUAAUUCGAUGCAACGCGAAGAACCUUACCUGGUCUUGACAUCCACGGAAGAAUUCAGAGAUGGAUUUGUGCCUUCGGGAACCGUGAGACAGGUGCUGCAUGGCUGUCGUCAGCUCGUGUUGUGAAAUGUUGGGUUAAGUCCCGCAACGAGCGCAACCCUUAUCCUUUGUUGCCAGCGGUCCGGCCGGGAACUCAAAGGAGACUGCCAGUGAUAAACUGGAGGAAGGUGGGGAUGACGUCAAGUCAUCAUGGCCCUUACGACCAGGGCUACACACGUGCUACAAUGGCGCAUACAAAGAGAAGCGACCUCGCGAGAGCAAGCGGACCUCAUAAAGUGCGUCGUAGUCCGGAUUGGAGUCUGCAACUCGACUCCAUGAAGUCGGAAUCGCUAGUAAUCGUGGAUCAGAAUGCCACGGUGAAUACGUUCCCGGGCCUUGUACACACCGCCCGUCACACCAUGGGAGUGGGUUGCAAAAGAAGUAGGUAGCUUAACCUUCGGGAGGGCGCUUACCACUUUGUGAUUCAUGACUGGGGUGAAGUCGUAACAAGGUAACCGUAGGGGAACCUGCGGUUGGAUCACCUCCUUACCU
RNAcentral lists this ribosomal RNA (1545 nucleotides) under Salmonella enterica. RNAcentral describes it as "bacterial SSU rRNA". It matches the Rfam family "Bacterial small subunit ribosomal RNA". The record is from RNAcentral. Lineage: Bacteria; Pseudomonadati; Pseudomonadota; Gammaproteobacteria; Enterobacterales; Enterobacteriaceae. RNAcentral also lists the same sequence under 5 other names.